RNAcentral lists this ribosomal RNA (850 nucleotides) under uncultured bacterium. Its description in RNAcentral is "bacterial SSU rRNA". It matches the Rfam family "Bacterial small subunit ribosomal RNA", at positions 46 to 896 of the family's 1533-position model. The record is from RNAcentral.
GCUUUCCAUGCAGUCGACGGCAGCACGGGGGCAACCCUGGUGGCGAGUGGCGAACGGGUGAGUAAUACAUCGGAACGUGCCCAGUCGUGGGGGAUAACGUAGCGAAAGCUACGCUAAUACCGCAUACGAACUCUGGUUGAAAGCGGGGGAUCGCAAGACCUCGCGCGAUUGGAGCGGCCGAUGGCAGAUUAGGUAGUUGGUGGGGUAAAGGCCUACCAAGCCGACGAUCUGUAGCUGGUCUGAGAGGACGACCAGCCACACUGGGACCGAGACACGGCCCAGACUCCUACGGGAGGCAGCAGUGGGGAAUUUUGGACAAUGGGCGCAAGCCUGAUCCAGCCAUUCCGCGUGCAGGAUGAAGGCCCUCGGGUUGUAAACUGCUUUUGUACGGAACGAAAAAGCCUGAGUUAAUACCUCGGGUCCAUGACGGUACCGUAAGAAUAAGCACCGGCUAACUACGUGCCAGCAGCCGCGGUAAUACGUAGGGUGCAAGCGUUAAUCGGAAUUACUGGGCGUAAAGCGUGCGCAGGCGGUGAUGUAAGACAGGUGUGAAAUCCCCGGGCUUAACCUGGGAACUGCAUUUGUGACUGCAUUGCUGGAGUGCGGCAGAGGGGGAUGGAAUUCCGCGUGUAGCAGUGAAAUGCGUAGAUAUGCGGAGGAACACCGAUGGCGAAGGCAAUCCCCUGGGCCUGCACUGACGCUCAUGCACGAAAGCGUGGGGAGCAAACAGGAUUAGAUACCCUGGUAGUCCACGCCCUAAACGAUGUCAACUGGUUGUUGGGUCUUCACUGACUCAGUAACGAAGCUAACGCGUGAAGUUGACCGCCUGGGGAGUACGGCCGCAAGGUUG